GAUGAACGCUAGCGACAGGCUUAACACAGUGCAAGUCGAGGGGCAGCACAGGGUAGCAAUACUUGGGUGGCGACCGGCGCACGGGUGAGUAACGCGUAUGCAACUUACCUAUCGAGAGGGGGAUAGCCCGGCGAAAGUCGGAUUAAUACCCCAUGAAACAGGGGUCCCGCAUGGGAAUAUUUGUUAAAGAUUCAUACGCUGAUAGAUAGGCAUGCGUUCCAUUAGGCAGUUGGCGGGGUAACGGCCCACCAAACCGACGAUGGAUAGGGGGUUCUGAGAGGAAGGUCCCCCACAUUGGUACUGAGACACGGACCAAACUCCUACGGGAGGCAGCAGUGAGGAAUAUUGGUCAAUGGCCGAGAGGCUGAACCAGCCAAGUCGCGUGAAGGAAGAAGGAUCUAUGGUUUGUAAACUUCUUUUAUAGGGGAAUAAAGUGGAGGACGUGUCCUUUUUUGUAUGUACCCUAUGAAUAAGCAUCGGCUAACUCCGUG
RNAcentral lists this ribosomal RNA (491 nucleotides) under uncultured bacterium. Its description in RNAcentral is "bacterial SSU rRNA". It matches the Rfam family "Bacterial small subunit ribosomal RNA", at positions 28 to 507 of the family's 1533-position model. The record is from RNAcentral.